This 482-nucleotide ribosomal RNA is filed under the name uncultured bacterium. Its description in RNAcentral is "bacterial SSU rRNA". It matches the Rfam family "Bacterial small subunit ribosomal RNA", at positions 8 to 507 of the family's 1533-position model. The record is from RNAcentral.
AGAGUUUGAUCAUGGCUCAGGACGAACGCUGGCGGCGUGCUUAACACAUGCAAGUCGAACGGUAAGGCCCUUCGGGGUACACGAGUGGCGAACGGGUGAGUAACACGUGGGUGAUCUGCCCUGCACUUUGGGAUAAGCCUGGGAAACUGGGUCUAAUACCGAAUAGGACCAUGGACUUCACGGUUUGUGGUGGAAAGCUUUUGCGGUGUGGGAUGGGCCCGCGGCCUAUCAGCUUGUUGGUGGGGUAAUGGCCUACCAAGGCGACGACGGGUAGCCGGCCUGAGAGGGUGACCGGCCACACUGGGACUGAGAUACGGCCCAGACUCCUACGGGAGGCAGCAGUGGGGAAUAUUGCACAAUGGGCGCAAGCCUGAUGCAGCGACGCCGCGUGAGGGAUGACGGCCUUCGGGUUGUAAACCUCUUUCAGCACAGACGAAGCGCAAGUGACGGUAUGUGCAGAAGAAGGACCGGCCAACUACGUG